This 483-nucleotide ribosomal RNA is filed under the name uncultured bacterium. RNAcentral's name for it is "partial 16S ribosomal RNA". It matches the Rfam family "Bacterial small subunit ribosomal RNA", at positions 28 to 523 of the family's 1533-position model. The record is from RNAcentral.
GACGAACGCUGGCGGCGUGCUUAACACAUGCAAGUCGAACGAUGAAGCUAGAGCUUGCUCUGGUGGAUUAGUGGCGAACGGGUGAGUAACACGUGAGUAACCUGCCCCGAACUCUGGGAUAACUGCUGGAAACGGUAGCUAAUACCGGAUAUGACCAAUGAAGGCAUCUUCUGUUGGUGGAAAGAAUUUCGGUUCGGGAUGGACUCGCGGCCUAUCAGCUUGUUGGUGAGGUAACGGCUCACCAAGGCGACGACGGGUAGCCGGCCUGAGAGGUGGAUAGGAGACACUGUGACUGAGAAACGGCCCAGACUCCUUCGGGAGGAAGCAGUGGGGAAUAUUGCACAUGGGCGCAAGCCUGAUGCAGCACCGCCGCGUGAGGGACGACGGCCUUCGGGUUGUAAACCUCUUUUAGUAGGGAAGAAGCGAAAGUGACGGUACCUGCAGAAAAAGCACCGGCUAACUACGUGCCAGCAGCCGCCGUAA